AGAACGAACGCUGGCGGCAUGCCUAACACAUGCAAGUCGAACGCUCACCGGGCUUCGGUUCGGUGGGAGUGGCGCACGGGUGAGUAGCGCGUGGGAACCUGCCCUGUUGUGGGGGAUAACCGAGGGAAACUUCGGCUAAUACCGCAUGCGCCCGGGGAAACCCGGGGAAAGAUUUAUCGCAGCAGGAGGGGCCCGCGUCGGAUUAGGUAGUUGGUAGGGUAACGGCCUACCAAGCCUUUGAUCCGUAGCUGGUCUGAGAGGAUGAUCAGCCACACUGGGACUGAGACACGGCCCAGACUCCUACGGGAGGCAGCAGUGGGGAAUAUUGGACAAUGGGCGCAAGCCUGAUCCAGCCAUGCCGCGUGAGUGAUGACGGCCUUAGGGUUGUAAAGCUCUUUCGCUCGGGACGAUAAUGACGGUACCGAGAUAAGAAGCCCGGCUAACUUCGUGCCAGCAGCCGC
RNAcentral lists this ribosomal RNA (461 nucleotides) under uncultured bacterium. RNAcentral's name for it is "SSU rRNA". It matches the Rfam family "Bacterial small subunit ribosomal RNA", at positions 26 to 518 of the family's 1533-position model. The record is from RNAcentral.